Molecule: long non-coding RNA, 929 nt
Organism: Oreochromis niloticus (Nile tilapia)
Lineage: Eukaryota; Metazoa; Chordata; Actinopteri; Cichliformes; Cichlidae
Exons: 2
Source: RefSeq, a predicted model, not a curated record
CCAGCUGCUGCCUGUGUUAAACCGACGGGUCACUUUAUCGCAUUUUUCUGGUGUUUUAUCUUCACCUGGUUUGAUUCAGUCCCUUCCCAGCAAAAAGAAAAAUAAUGACAGAUGAGCGCGAGCGGUUUGUCGGCACCAACAGACCUCACACCCGGUUUCUGCGCUGUGGAGACCUCAGGGAGAGUUUCGUUCAAGUCUGGCACAGAAAUGGGAUUUCUAUUCUGGGAACUGACGGGGUUUCUCAUUGUGAAGUGAUCUGGGCAUGCUGCCAUACUCUGGGAAGUAAGAGACUACUUAAAUACAUUUGAUGACAUGCUCCUGUGGGAAUAAUAUAAUAAUAUACUGAUACAGAAGAGGCUGAAACAACUGCAGAGGGUCCAACUUAGUUCUGAGAAGCAUGGCCGGAUUGACUUCCUAGGGGGGCCCUGGGUAUGAAGUAGCAGUGGACACCAACUGGAUUUGUAACAAAAUUAAUGAAACAACCAGUUUAUUCUAAUAAUGUGUGCUUCUGAACAAAAGUUGUCCAAACUUGCGCCACGUAGUUUCGUUUAACUGAACACAGGUUUAAUAUCUAUUGACUUGUCCAGGUACAGAGAGUGAAGAAUUUCCCCUUUUGAAGAGUUGGGGUUUUUUUUACACCCUCUUAAUAAAACUAUGUGGUUGAGUUUUGUGCAGUUAAAGACCUUGGUACAAUCUUGUGAUACUUGGUUGGGUUCAGGAAAAAGGUCGUGGUUUGGGUAAAAAUGCAAUAGUCGCAUUUUUUUCUUUGGAAAGUUUUAUUUUCUUGGUUGCCAGGGUGACACUAGCCCACUGCAGCAGACAAGAAAUUUCACACUGAAGUGCAUUAGUCUCAAAGUUGUGCUUAAUGUAAUGAAAAAUAAAGGUGGCAGUUUAUGUGCAUGUACACGAAUAAACAGAUUGCUUUUUCA